GCACCUGCAAAAUCAGGUGCCGGGAUUGACCUCCUGAUAUUCCUCAUCGGCGACACAUGACGCGCGUUGCGUCUCCUGU
Molecule: small RNA, 79 nt
Filed under: Mangrovibacter sp. MFB070
Lineage: Bacteria; Pseudomonadati; Pseudomonadota; Gammaproteobacteria; Enterobacterales; Enterobacteriaceae
Description: isrK Hfq binding RNA
Rfam family: isrK Hfq binding RNA
Source: Rfam by way of RNAcentral